Molecule: long non-coding RNA, 915 nt
Organism: Cucurbita maxima (winter squash)
Lineage: Eukaryota; Viridiplantae; Streptophyta; Magnoliopsida; Cucurbitales; Cucurbitaceae
Exons: 6
Source: RefSeq, a predicted model, not a curated record
AUUGAUUUAUUUCGAAGGCGUUGCCGAAUCAAGAAGCGGUCGAAAUAUUCAUGAGAAUCACAGGCGCUUCCGAGUCUCUCGCCCUGCGUUUUCAAAUUUCAACCACGACACGUACUUUUACUGAUUGUUGAUGAAAUUUUAGCAUUCGAAGUACUGAAUGAACACUUUCACAGUAACGAAUGAUUGAUCCGAGUUUCGCAUCUAAUUCUUGAUGAUCAGGCAAGGCCAUAUUGCAGGUGUACUUUGGACUUGAAGAUGGCUCGAUGAUGUUGAGAGAUCUCUGCCUCACCGGCAACCAAGAAGCCUUGUUUGUGGAGCUAAUAUGAUGCAGGUGCAGUCCAAUACUGCUUGGUUGCAACCAAUACCUUUUCUCUAUGAUGGGGUCCUUUCUCAUGGUCUGCGAUUCUGCAUUCCCAUUGCAUAGCCUCUGCGAUGUUCUUGACCUUCACCAACACAUCCACGUCGUCUCUGAGGAUCACGCUGCCCUGUGGCCGCAGAAUCCUGUCCAUCUCUAGCAGAAUAUCCUCCAUUUCACAUCUGCAACACAGGGACGAUGUUCAUGACCCACAGAGGAUCGUCAACAAGGGCAGCUGCAAAGCCACCCAAGAAUGAGUUCAUGUCAAGCAAAUUGCGGUACCUCCCAGGCUCAGCAAGCUGGUUGUCCAAGGCCUUAAGUUAGUCUCUCUGGCCAAUUGAGCAGCUGCCCACCAGCUGUUUCUUUUAUGUCAGACACUUCAGGAAGUGGCGUCAAGCAAGGCUCCAUUUUUGUGUACCUGCACUUAGACGACAAGUGUAAAAAUAAGACUAUGCCUUUUAGCUUUGAAUAUCUCUAGAAAAAGAAGAGUCGAGACAAAACAGUUUACGAACCAUGCAGUGUCGGGGUUCUGUCCCUGGCAAAAGUUGGGGAAUUUGAAG